This 167-nucleotide ribosomal RNA is filed under the name Synchiropus splendidus (mandarinfish). RNAcentral describes it as "partial 12S rRNA". Lineage: Eukaryota; Metazoa; Chordata; Actinopteri; Syngnathiformes; Callionymidae. The record is from RNAcentral.
CACCGCGGUUAUACGAGAGACCCAAAUUGAUAAACAACGGCGUAAAGGGUGGUUAUAAUUAUAAAUACACUAGGGCCGAACUUGUCCCAGACUGUUAUACGUUACGGAAUAAUGAAGACCAUAAACGAAAGUAGCCCUAAACUAUUGAACCCACGAAAGCUAGGAAA